This 428-nucleotide long non-coding RNA is filed under the name Coturnix japonica (Japanese quail). Its description in RNAcentral is "lncRNA (ENSCJPG00005013049.1)". The record is from RNAcentral. Lineage: Eukaryota; Metazoa; Chordata; Aves; Galliformes; Phasianidae.
GCCUCUAUUAGUUGCUAUUCUGUGCCCCUUCUCUCCCUGCAGUAUGACACAGAGCAUAUAGAGGCUCCUAAGAGCUGAGAAACGGAGGUAUUUGUUAUGUCAUCGUCCUCUUCACUGAAGAGCUCUGGCACUUCACAAGAGACAGGCAACUAUCUCAGAGGAUUAGGGCCUUGAGAAGUGAAGAUCAAGUUCUUCCCUUGUGUGAGACUCCAUGCACAUACAGGAGGGGAAAGUUCUGAUUCUACAGAUGACAGUAUACAAGGGGUAAAAGGGCCCACUGUACCAUGAGAUCAACAAGAUUAGAUAUCUUUGUAACCUGCUUACCAGCAGAAUGUGAUAUUGAGGCUGAGACAAGAAGCUAAGAGCAACUGACCUGCAAGAUUAAGGUAACAAAUAAAAUGUCCAAUGGGGCAUCUUUGUUUUAAAAU